RNAcentral lists this ribosomal RNA (367 nucleotides) under uncultured bacterium. RNAcentral describes it as "bacterial SSU rRNA". It matches the Rfam family "Bacterial small subunit ribosomal RNA", at positions 29 to 408 of the family's 1533-position model. The record is from RNAcentral.
AAUGAACGUUGGCGGCGUGGAUUAGGCAUGCAAGUCGCGCGACAAGGAACCUUCGGGUUCUGGAGGAGCGGCAAACGGGGUAGUAAGGCAUCGGAACGUACCCUCUUGUUGGGAAUAGCCGCGGGAAACUGCGAGUAAUGCCCAAUAAUCCCUACGGGGCAAAGGUCCGCCGCAGGAGGAGCGGCCGAUGUGAUACCAGCUAGUUGGUGAGGUAAUGGCUCACCAAGGCUUAGACGUCUAGGGGGUGUGAGAGCAUGGCCCCCACCACUGGGACGUGAGAUACUGCCCACGACACCUACGGGUGGCUGCAGUCGAGAAUCUUCGGCAAUGGGCGGCAAGCCUGACCGACGCAACGCCGCGUGCGGGA